UACGUAGGGGGCAAGCGUUGUCCGGAUUUAUUGGGCGUAAAGAGCGUGUAGGCGGCCAGACAGGUCAGCUGUGAAAACUCGAGGCUCAACCUCGAGACGUCGGUUGAAACCGUCUGGCUAGAGUCCGGAAGAGGAGAGUGGAAUUCCCGGUGUAGUGGUGAAAUGCGUAGAUAUCGGGAGGAACACCAGUGGCGAAAGCGGCUACCUGGCCCAUACUUGACGCUGAGGCGCGAAAGCUAGGGGAGCAAACGGG
RNAcentral lists this ribosomal RNA (253 nucleotides) under uncultured bacterium. RNAcentral describes it as "partial 16S ribosomal RNA". It matches the Rfam family "Bacterial small subunit ribosomal RNA", at positions 524 to 776 of the family's 1533-position model. The record is from RNAcentral.